Molecule: long non-coding RNA, 621 nt
Organism: Centruroides sculpturatus (bark scorpion)
Lineage: Eukaryota; Metazoa; Arthropoda; Arachnida; Scorpiones; Buthidae
Exons: 3
Source: RefSeq, a predicted model, not a curated record
UUUAAUUGUUUUAAAGAUUAUUUUGUUGAUUUAAGUGACAAUUAGUUGAUUAAUUUCCUUAACAAAGCACUUUUCAUCGGAGAAAUUUCAACUAAGUUUGAAGGAGUGUUCACAUUCAUUUCGUAAUGUUGUACAAUGUUCACUACAAGCGCAAGGGUCAAAAAGAUAUCGUUAUGAAAAAAUAAUCAGAAGUAGUUCUACGUAACAGUUUACGUAACAGAAGUAUGAUUCAUUUAGGCACGUUAUAUCCUGCCUUAACGUUAUAUUAGUUAAAUUGAAAGGCAGUUUUUUCACUUAACAAAACUCAUCAAAAUUGAAAGAUUAGAACCUGUUUUAAAACGAGUAUUAUCGUCAUGUCUACCUUCAAUAUCACAAUGCAAGAGUGUAGUGAUAUAAAAAUGGGAGAUACGAGUAAAACUGUAAUUGUUGAUAACACCGAAAAAGUUAAGUUAAAGAUAUGCCAAGAUAAGCUAAUGAACAGAUACAAGACUACUUACGCAUAUAUGAGUUCCUCACUCUGGAAGGAAGGACACAAUGACUUUCCAAUUAAAGAAUGUUUUGUUGACGUUAAACUUCAAAAAACAGAUAUGAUAGGACGAAAAACGGGUGAAAUUAUACAAA